GGCGUAAGGGUUUGUAGGCAGCUUUAAAUUAAUUAAAGAUUGAAUCAUAUAGAAGUCAAGAGAAUUAGUAGAUUAGGGUUGAUAUCCGUAUAAACUAUUAAGAAUUCUAAUUAGCGAAGGCACUUUUCUAUCUACUGAUUGACGCUGAGAAACGAAGGGGAGGAAACAAAACAGGAUUAGAUACCCUAAUAUCCCUCUCUGUAAACGAUGAAUGGUAGUUGCUAGUAAUAAUAAUUAGUGACGAGGCUAACGCGUUAACCAUUCCGCCUUGUGAGUACGACUGCAAAGUUGAAAACAAAAAAAUUAGUCGGUUUCGGAGCAAACGAAGUGAAGCAUGUUAUUUAAUUCGAUAAUCCGC
This 358-nucleotide ribosomal RNA is filed under the name Hysterangium sp. OSC122860. RNAcentral's name for it is "SSU rRNA". It matches the Rfam family "Bacterial small subunit ribosomal RNA", at positions 557 to 962 of the family's 1533-position model. The record is from RNAcentral. Lineage: Eukaryota; Fungi; Basidiomycota; Agaricomycetes; Hysterangiales; Hysterangiaceae.